This is a non-coding RNA of Triticum aestivum (bread wheat), 103 nucleotides long. The record is from Rfam. NCBI's taxonomy places the organism in Eukaryota, Viridiplantae, Streptophyta, Magnoliopsida, Poales, Poaceae.
CCCAAAAUUCUUGUCUUAGAUUUGUCUAGAUACGGAUGUAUCAAGUCACAUUUUAGUAUUAGAUACAUCCGUAUCUAGACAAAUCUAAGACAAGAAAUUUGGG